GAUGAACGCUGGCGGCGUGCCUAAUACAUGCAAGUCGAGCGAACGGACGAGAAGCUUGCUUCUCUGCUGUUAGCGGCGGACGGGUGAGUAACACGUGGAUAACCUACCUAUAUUACUGGGAUAACUUCGUGAAACCGGAGCUAAUACCGGAUAAUAUUUUGUACCGCAUGGUUCAAAAGUAAAUGACGGUCUUGCUGUCUCUUAUAGCUGGAUCCGCGCUGCAUUAGCUAGUUGGUAAGGUAACGGCUUACCAAGGCAACGAUGCAUAGCCGACCUGAGAGGGUGAUCGGCCACACUGGAACUGAGACACGGUCCAGACUCCUACGGGAGGCAGCAGUAGGGAAUAUUGCACAAUGGGCGAAAGCCUGACGGAGCAACGCCGCGUGAGUGAUGAAGGUCUUCGGGUCGUAAAACUCUGUUAUUAGGAAAGAAAAGAUGUGGAAGUAAAUGUGGAUAUUUUGACGGUACCUAAACAGAAAGCAACGGCUAACUACGUG
RNAcentral lists this ribosomal RNA (497 nucleotides) under uncultured bacterium. Its description in RNAcentral is "partial 16S ribosomal RNA". It matches the Rfam family "Bacterial small subunit ribosomal RNA", at positions 28 to 507 of the family's 1533-position model. The record is from RNAcentral.